CAGCAGCCACGGGAAUACGAAGGGGGCUAGCGUUGUUCGGAUUUACUGGCGUAAAGCGCACGUAGGCGGACUUUUAAGUCAGGGGUGAAAUCCCGGGGCUCAACCCCGGAACUGCCUUUGAUACUGGAAGUCUUGAGUAUGGUAGAGGUGAGUGGAAUUCCGAGUGUAGAGGUGGAAUUCGUAGAUAUUCGGAGGAACACCAGUGGCGAAGGCGGCUCACUGGACCAUUACUGACGCUGAGGUGCGAAAGCGUGGGGAGCAAACAGGAUUAGAUACCCGGGUAGUCCCUGUCUCUUAUACA
RNAcentral lists this ribosomal RNA (301 nucleotides) under uncultured bacterium. Its description in RNAcentral is "partial 16S ribosomal RNA". It matches the Rfam family "Bacterial small subunit ribosomal RNA", at positions 509 to 808 of the family's 1533-position model. The record is from RNAcentral.